RNAcentral lists this long non-coding RNA (602 nucleotides) under Homo sapiens (human). RNAcentral's name for it is "novel transcript". Lineage: Eukaryota; Metazoa; Chordata; Mammalia; Primates; Hominidae. The record is from RNAcentral.
GAAUGGGAAUUUGGAAACUCUGUUGGCCUUUGCCAUAGGAAAACAAGGAGAGCAUCUGUGAGUCCUAGAGUCUAGCUCUGUCAUCCAGGCUGGAGUGUACUGGUGUGAUCUCGGCUCACUGCAACAUCCUCCUCCCGGGUUCAAGAGAUUCUCCUGCUUCAGCCUCCCAAGUAGCUGGGACUACUGGCGCAUGCCACCACGACUGGCUAAUUUUUGUAUUUUUUAGUAGAGAUGGGGUUUCACCAUCUUGGCCAGGCUGGUCUCGAACUCCUGACCUCAGGUGAUCCACCCGUCUCGGCCUCCUAAAGUGCUGGCAUUACAGGCGUGAGCCACCGUGCCCAGCCACCAGCAGUAAAUUUUUGAGGAACUUAAACUACCAGCCUUAUCUUGGUAGAUACCCCAUCGUCUCAAUCUUGAUGAGCCACAGGCAUUUUGUUGUUACUGUUAUUUGAAUUUUUAUAAUCCAAGCCAUUAAAGAGACAAGUCUGGUCAGCUUAUUAUAUGGUAUCAACAAUUGGCUCAAAUGGGAAGAGCAGUUGUUGUAGACUGAAUUGUGUCUCCCCCAAAUCCAUAUGUUGAAACUCUAACACCCAAUAUGACUG